GACGAACGCUGGCGGCGUGCUUAACACAUGCAAGUCGAACGGAAAGGCCUUUUCGGAGGUACUGGAGUGGCGAACGGGUGAGUAACACGUGGGUGAUCUGCCCUGCACUCUGGGAUAAGCCUGGGAAACUGGGUCUAAUACCGGAUAGGACCGCACUUUAGUGUGUGUGGUGGAAAGUUUUUUCGGUGUAGGAUGAGCCCGCGGCCUAUCAGCUUGUUGGUGGGGUAAUGGCCUACCAAGGCGGCGACGGGUAGCCGGACUGAGAGGUUGGUCGGCCACAUUGGGACUGAGAUACGGCCCAGACUCCUACGGGAGGCAGCAGUGGGGAAUAUUGCACAAUGGGCGCAAGCCUGAUGCAGCGACGCCGCGUGGGGGAUGACGGCCUUCGGGUUGUAAACUCCUUUCGCCAGGGACGAAGCGUUUUGUGACGGUACCUGGAGAAGAAGCACCGGCUAACUACGUG
RNAcentral lists this ribosomal RNA (463 nucleotides) under uncultured bacterium. RNAcentral's name for it is "partial 16S ribosomal RNA". It matches the Rfam family "Bacterial small subunit ribosomal RNA", at positions 28 to 507 of the family's 1533-position model. The record is from RNAcentral.